GGAUCCUUAGCUCAGCUGGUUUAGAGCACCUGCCUUACAAGCAGGGGGUCGAUGGUUCGAAUCCAUCAGGGUCCA
RNAcentral lists this transfer RNA (75 nucleotides) under Porphyromonadaceae bacterium W3.11. RNAcentral describes it as "tRNA-Val". It matches the Rfam family "tRNA". From Rfam's summary of the family: Transfer RNA (tRNA) molecules are approximately 80 nucleotides in length. The record is from RNAcentral. Lineage: Bacteria; Pseudomonadati; Bacteroidota; Bacteroidia; Bacteroidales; Porphyromonadaceae.